This is a long non-coding RNA of Herpailurus yagouaroundi (jaguarundi), 421 nucleotides long. RefSeq lists it as uncharacterized. NCBI's taxonomy places the organism in Eukaryota, Metazoa, Chordata, Mammalia, Carnivora, Felidae. The record is from RefSeq and is a predicted model, not a curated record. The transcript has 3 exons.
CCGUGAGAUGGUGACCUGAGCCGACACCAAGAGUCGGGACACUAAACUGACUGAGCCGCCCACGAGUCCCCCAGAAAAGCAGUAUUGCUAAGCACUGACUCUGUGCAGGCAAUUUCCACACUUCGAUGAUGGCAUGCAUGUGUGCACAGGUAUGCACGUGUGUGUGUGUGUGUGUGUGUGUGUAUGCGUGUGUGUGCACGUGGGCUUGCGUGGGAGGUGACGGGACGGGGACAGCUUCUCCCGGGACUUACUGUGAGGGCACAGGUCCAGCCUCCGCCUUGUGCCUGACUUGCUAGAGACGUCAUCGAAGUCGAUACGAAUUAAUUUGUUUUCUCUUUAAACAGAAACCUCACGAGCUGCUCGGUUCCCCUUCCCGAUUCAGAAGUGAGCAAAUUGCACACCGCUGAUUCCCGAUUCACAA